GAGUAACGCGUAGGUAACCUGCCUACUAGCGGGGGAUAACUAUUGGAAACGAUAGCUAAUACCGCAUAACAGCAUUUAACUCAUGUUAGAUGCUUGAAAGGAGCAAUUGCUUCACUAGUAGAUGGACCUGCGUUGUAUUAGCUAGUUGGUGAGGUAACGGCUCACCAAGGCGACGAUACAUAGCCGACCUGAGAGGGUGAUCGGCCACACUGGGACUGAGACACGGCCCAGACUCCUACGGGAGGCAGCAGUAGGGAAUCUUCGGCAAUGGGGGCAACCCUGACCGAGCAACGCCGCGUGAGUGAAGAAGGUUUUCGGAUCGUAAAGCUCUGUUGUAAGAGAAGAACGUGUGUGAGAGUGGAAAGUUCACACAGUGACGGUAACUUACCAGAAAGGGACGGCUAACUACGUGCCAGCAGCCGCGGUAAUACGUAGGUCCCGAGCGUUGUCCGGAUUUAUUGGGCGUAAAGCGAG
RNAcentral lists this ribosomal RNA (474 nucleotides) under Streptococcus lutetiensis. RNAcentral describes it as "bacterial SSU rRNA". It matches the Rfam family "Bacterial small subunit ribosomal RNA", at positions 108 to 569 of the family's 1533-position model. Lineage: Bacteria; Bacillati; Bacillota; Bacilli; Lactobacillales; Streptococcaceae. The record is from RNAcentral.